This 253-nucleotide ribosomal RNA is filed under the name uncultured bacterium. RNAcentral describes it as "partial 16S ribosomal RNA". It matches the Rfam family "Bacterial small subunit ribosomal RNA", at positions 524 to 776 of the family's 1533-position model. The record is from RNAcentral.
UACGUAGGGGGCAAGCGUUGUCCGGAUUUAUUGGGCGUAAAGAGCGUGUAGGCGGUUAGGUAGGUCCGUUGUGAAAACUCGAGGCUCAACCUCGAGACGCCGAUGGAAACCAUCUAACUAGAGUCCGGAAGAGGAGAGUGGAAUUCCCGGUGUAGCAGUGAAAUGCGUAGAGAUCGGGAGGAACAUCUGUGGCGAAGGCGACUGCCUGGACCAGCACUGACACUGAGGCACGAAAGCGUGGGGAGCAAACAGG